GUCUAACUAUGAAGCCAAAAAUUGAAUGUUUGAGUAGAUUUUAUUCUUUUCCUAAUGUAUGAAUAUCACAGUAUAGUUUAGUCAGUUAUUAUUAUUUAUUAGGUGAUAUGAAUAAAACCGAGCAUUUGCUCAUGCUCAACCUGGUUUGAGUAAAGUAAAGUGUCUGAGCAUUUACUCAAAUCCGUAUGAAUAAAGUGGUACUUUGCUCAGAGUAAGUUCGAAUUUCGAACUUAGCUUUUACUUUGUCAAAAAUCUUGUUUUUGUUUAUGCUUUUUGAUUUUUUUUGCGAAACAUAAAAAGAAUGCCAAUAGUGCAAUCAGUAUGUAGUGGUUUCGCGAAAAAAAUAGUAUGAAAGUGGAAAAGUUUGAGAUGUACCAUUUACUGCCAGUUGCUGAUGGAAUCACACACCCCGGCGAAAAACAAUUUUCAGCAUCCCACCUGCCGGGGAAGCGUCGGUGAGCGCAAAAAAUGGUCCGCCCGCAACCGCAACGCCUUCACCGGUGAACAGUCGAUUAUCAAACCAGAAAGAGACGGUGCCCUCGGAACGGGCCUACGGAAAUGGUACCCAAGUAAAUGCCAAGCCUGUGGGGUGGAUUAAAUGCCACUGUCAACAAGCAUCAGCACCAGAAAAACCACCAUACACACACUGGACAAGGAAAAGCAGAUCAAACUGGGGGCAACUAGCGGACAAUUCGGCUUCUUGAGUGAAUUCAAUAUGCCACAGGCUACCGGAUUGAAGGACCAUGACCUCACUGUCGCAAUCCAUAAUUCCUGGCUGCUGAAUAUAUAAAUAAACUGUGCUACAAACCCACUACAAAUGUUGAAAUUUUAAACAGUUUUCACAGGUAGGCAUGAACCAAUUGUGCUUAGAGACCUUUCUAAUAAUAUUUUUGAAGUUCACCAAAAAUAUAGGAAUCUGAGCAUAAUCUCAAAGAGAGAA
Long non-coding RNA from Aedes aegypti (yellow fever mosquito), 940 nucleotides. RefSeq lists it as uncharacterized. The transcript is spliced from 2 exons. Lineage: Eukaryota; Metazoa; Arthropoda; Insecta; Diptera; Culicidae. The record is from RefSeq and is a predicted model, not a curated record.